This 276-nucleotide ribosomal RNA is filed under the name uncultured bacterium. Its description in RNAcentral is "partial 16S ribosomal RNA". It matches the Rfam family "Bacterial small subunit ribosomal RNA", at positions 68 to 339 of the family's 1533-position model. The record is from RNAcentral.
AGCAUGAACUUAGCUUGCUAAGUUUGAUGGCGACCGGCGCACGGGUGAGUAACACGUAUCCAACCUGCCUCAUACUCGGGGAUAGCCUUUCGAAAGAAAGAUUAAUAUCCGAUAGCAUAUAUUUCCCGCAUGGGUUUUAUAUUAAAGAAAUUCGGUAUGAGAUGGGGAUGCGUUCCAUUAGUUUGUUGGUGAGGUAACGGCCCACCAAGGCGACGAUCAGUAGCCGGACUGAGAGGUUGACCGGCCACAUUGGGACUGAGAUACGGCCCAGACUCC